Molecule: ribosomal RNA, 253 nt
Filed under: uncultured bacterium
Lineage: Bacteria
Description: partial 16S ribosomal RNA
Rfam family: Bacterial small subunit ribosomal RNA
Source: RNAcentral
UACGAAGGGGGCUAGCGUUGCUCGGAAUCACUGGGCGUAAAGCGCACGUAGGCGGAUUGCUAAGUCAGGGGUGAAAUCCUGGAGCUCAACUCCAGAACUGCCUUUGAUACUGGAGAGCUCGAGUCCGGAAGAGGUGAGUGGAACUGCGAGUGUAGAGGUGAAAUUCGUAGAUAUUCGCAAGAACACCAGUGGCGAAGGCGGCUCACUGGCCCGGUACUGACGCUGAGGUGCGAAAGCGUGGGGAGCAAACAGG